Molecule: long non-coding RNA, 357 nt
Organism: Carassius carassius (crucian carp)
Lineage: Eukaryota; Metazoa; Chordata; Actinopteri; Cypriniformes; Cyprinidae
Exons: 5
Source: RefSeq, a predicted model, not a curated record
CUUGUUUGUGGAGAGGGAUGAAUUUGACCAACUUGUGUGUUUAAGGACAAGACCAAAAGCUGCAAAUGCAAACAUUUCCAGAGGUACAAACAGAGUGGAUGGUUGUAUGAUGGCCUCUUUCAGUUUUGUCAACUGAAUGUCUACUAGUGAGGCUCAGCAAGUUCUAGUCAUGAUCAGCCCUCUCCAAGAAAGCUGAAGAGAAAAAACACAAAGAACAUCAGUCCUGUUGGAGAUGAGGAAUGAACAUGGCUCUAUUGUCCCCAAACAGAAAAGACUGAAAAGUCCUAGAAUGAACAAAUCAUCAGGUCAUCAUUUCUGGAAUUUGGGCAGAAAAUUACUGAAUAUGAAAGACUGCAU